AGUUGCAGCACCGGUUCCCGUACGAUCACCGAAGUUAAGCAACGUUGAGUCUGGUCAGUACCUAGAUGGGUGACCAUUUGGGGAUACAAGGUGCCGUCA
Molecule: non-coding RNA, 99 nt
Organism: Acanthosepion pharaonis
Lineage: Eukaryota; Metazoa; Mollusca; Cephalopoda; Sepiida; Sepiidae
Source: the annotation of a GenBank genome assembly